GUCGGCUGCGCGCUCUCUGCAGAAAAGGAUUUUCUACGCUCCCCGCCCAUCACUUGGAUCUCGUCUGGGGAGGGGCGGAUUUUUUUUCUGGAAGUACCCUUCUUCUCCACGGUGGAGGAUUUAAGGCUGGGCUCCAAUCGAGGCGGAGGCUGCAGGGCCCGCGGGGCGCCCCCCGCCCGGCGCACGCCUGCCCGGAGCCCGGGAAGGCGCAGCCCUGGGUGGGGGGGCCCGUGCACCCCCGGAGGCGGCAGCGGCGAUAAACCUGCCAGUAAUUUCAGCAAAUGAAACGUGGAACACGUCAAGGCCAGAGGAUGGAAAAGGCUCCAGUUUUGAUAAAAGGAGGCCUGCUUGGCUUGGAAUCCUCUCUCCUGCUGGUUGGGAGAUGCAAAGAUGUUUCCAGAGAGGGGCUGAUGAAUUGAGGGGAAAGAAAUGAGCCCAGUAUGAGUCCCCUUUCAGGGCUGAGCGUGUAUAAAACCAAACAACUUGGAACCGCUCCAAGAGAGGGGAUUAAAGCAACAUGUUAUUCUGA
This 529-nucleotide long non-coding RNA is filed under the name Homo sapiens (human). RNAcentral describes it as "non-protein coding MIR193BHG:22". Lineage: Eukaryota; Metazoa; Chordata; Mammalia; Primates; Hominidae. The record is from RNAcentral.